This is a non-coding RNA of Odocoileus virginianus texanus, 635 nucleotides long. The record is from RefSeq and is a predicted model, not a curated record. NCBI's taxonomy places the organism in Eukaryota, Metazoa, Chordata, Mammalia, Artiodactyla, Cervidae.
GGCCAAAUGCAGCAAACAUUCUGGUGAUGGGUGUGGAAAAUUCUGCAAAAGAAGGUGAUCCUGGAACAAUAUGCUUCUUCAGGGAAGGAGCUGCUGUGUUCUGGAAUGUGAAAGACCAAACUAUGAAGCAUGUGAUGCAAGUUCUAGAAAAACAUGAAAUUCAGCCCUAUGAAAUUGCAUUGGUUCACUGGGAAAAUGAAGAGCUUAACUACACAAAAACAGAGGGGCAGUCAAAACUUCACAGAGGGGAAAUCCGGUUAAAUUCAGAGUUGGAUUUAGAUAACGCCAUUCUAGAGAAAUUUGCUUUCUCAAAUGCCCUUUGCCUCUCAGUGAAACUUGCUAUCUGGGAAGCAUCACUGGAUAAAUUUGUUGAAUAUAUUCAGUCGAUUCCAGAGGCUUUAAAAGCUGGGAAGAGAGUGAAACUAUCUCAUGAAGAAGUUAUGCAGAAAAUGGGUGAACUCCUUGCCCUAAAACACCAUAUAAACUUGAGUUCAGACUUCUUGAUCACCUCUGAUUUCUACUGGGACAGAGAAAAUCUGGAAGAACUUUAUGAUAAAACUUGUCAGUUCCUCAGCAUUACUCGUAGAGUCAAGGUACUGUUUGAACUGGGACGAGUAUUUUUUCUGAUUAAGUGA